ACUAGUCAUGGUCUGUUCACUAGAUUUUCACCCAAUAAAAAGUAAAAAAUAAAAGUCUAUUUUUAGAUUAAUAAUUUUUUAUCUUUUCAAUGACAUAAAAAUCAUGUAAUUUCAAAUUAUUAUGAGUCAAUUAUGAUAGAUUAAAGAUAGAAUGUUAAUAAUAGAAAAAUUAAGUGGAUAUUUUUUACCUCAAAGGUAAAUUGCUUGCAUACUUUUACUGUAUUUUGGUUAGACUUUAC
RNAcentral lists this long non-coding RNA (239 nucleotides) under Physcomitrium patens. Its description in RNAcentral is "long non-coding RNA (PPAT_LNC007622)". Lineage: Eukaryota; Viridiplantae; Streptophyta; Bryopsida; Funariales; Funariaceae. The record is from RNAcentral.